CAUGACCCCAGAUCAGACG
Molecule: ribosomal RNA, 19 nt
Filed under: Allium tenuiflorum
Lineage: Eukaryota; Viridiplantae; Streptophyta; Magnoliopsida; Asparagales; Amaryllidaceae
Description: partial large subunit ribosomal RNA
Source: RNAcentral